AGAAUUGCUCUUUUGCAUUUCUUUUACUCGUGUUAUACUUACCGAAUCCAGUGUCAAAACUUACUUCGAUAUUUAAAUCCUCUUAAUUCUUUAUUUAGCUGUGAGCAAGAUGGCCCCUUCUGUCUGCCACCAAAAUUUUUUGUACCUCGACUGUUUUCGGACAGGUUUCAGUGAGCACCAAAGGCUUGUCCCUCGUGAUCAAGACAUUGUCCUCCACU
Molecule: long non-coding RNA, 218 nt
Organism: Zophobas morio
Lineage: Eukaryota; Metazoa; Arthropoda; Insecta; Coleoptera; Tenebrionidae
Exons: 3
Source: RefSeq, a predicted model, not a curated record